GCCGGCUGCCUGUGCAGCAGGGGUCCCCGAAACGGUGGCCAGCAGGCAGCCCACACUGGCACCCAGGAGUCAGCCUGCAGCCGUGGCAGCCCUGUGGGGCCUGACCCUCACCAGGCUUUUGUGGCCGCCCAGCUCCACCAGCCCCCACCAACACCGUUUGCAGGGAUUACAGUACCAGUCACAGCCACAGGCAGGGCGGCCUUCCUGCUUCUGAAGUUCUCCAGGGCACACCAGCUUCUAAUGUGCCCAUUAAAGAGGCCAGCGGGGAGCUGGGAAUCUGAAAAGUAUGAAGAGGCCAAUGGGGCCUUACGGUUAGGGAGUCCACCCUCAGUCUGGGAGGAAAAAGAAGAGGAGGAGGAGGAGGAGGAGGAGACCCAAGGGACUUGGAGGCCUCAACGCAGCCCACAGUGAGGCCAGCAGCAAGAUGACGUCCAGCUUGACCUGGCUGUCCGUCCCUGUGAGAACAGCCCGGAGGGUGUCCGGACCGUCCAUCACCGAGCAGGGCCACAUCUGCAGCCUGCAGUGUGCAGAGGGCUCUAAGCACAUUGCUCAUGUCCCUGGGCUGUGGCAACUGCGGGCAAGUAAGGCUAGGCUAGCGCCCCGCAUGGGGAGGGGGUGAGGGUGCUGAGAGGGACCCCGUGCAGGAAAGAGCCUCCUGGCAGAAGACGGGAUGGGGUGCCCCUUUCAACGUGGCUGCUUUUGUUUCUCAUUUCCAGUAGUCAAGGAUAGAAAAGGGCAACAGAGACAGCAGCCCCAGUUCCUGUCCUCUUGGGGUGCCCUGGCAUCCCUAAACUGGGAAUGGGUCUCUCAAGUCAGGGGCAGGCAGCCCCAUCUCCCUGCCCUCCCCCCAGGUUCAAGACCCAGACUCCCCUAAACUCCCAGACAUUCAUAGGAUGGCAGCUGGGGGUCAAGCAGAAACUGGGGGACCCAAAGAGCAGGAAAGUCAGCCCAGACCUGGCCCGAGUCCACAGGAGCUGCUGCCCACUUGCAAAUGAAUCACAGUCACUUCCCCAAAGUUUUCCACCCGGACCGAAAAGCAGCCCCAGCCACCUCCUAGCAGACCUCUCUGGGCGGGCUGCGCUGGGAGAGCGCCCGCCCCGCCCCCUCCACGCCGCGGCGCAGCCAUGCGGAAGCCAGGCUUCCUUGCAGGGCCGCUCACAAGCCCAGACCUCGCUUCUCCCUGAAGCCCCCAUGUCCACCCGCGAAUGCACCAGACAUGGGAACACUGGACUGGCGCCUUCCCGGAAAUCCCCAGCCCUAGUCAGGAGCAGCCCGCGGGUCAGGCUCGGGGAUCCCCUGCCCCCACUGGCCCUCCACGGUCAGGGCUGCGAGUUCCAAGGCUCCCGGAACUCCUCUUCCCUGUCUCUUCUUGAGGAUGCGAACUUCCAGGAAGCCCUCCAGGACUGCAGCUCAGCUCGGCACCACUCCAGCCACACCCCAGUUCGAUCCAGUGGAGGGGCCGCUCCCUUCUGACCCGGAAAGGAGCCUGGUGGUGAAGACACGAGACACACAACAGAUGGAGCCUGAGACCUUUAACUCCAAACCCACUCGGCCCAUAAAUGUUGCUCCUGGACCAGGGGCAGAGGCCAGGGCAGGGAGUGGGGAGGACAGUAUUUCCAUCCAGUGGCUGCUCUGUCCUCAAUCCUGGCUCCACUGGACCUGUCCACCAAAGGCCAAUCGAGAGACCCCGUCCGUGUCCGUCUCUAUACUGGGGCACAGCGUGGUGUGUUCUGCUCAUAAUGGAGCAUCAUUGGCAAUGACAUUGUGAAGUCCUGGUUUCACCACAGAUUUUGCUGACAACCACCCCAGAGUCACAGGAGAUAGGAUGUCUGUGGCACUGACUUCCUGCCCUAGGACUUCCAAGUACUGUAACCAACUGGUCCCAGGUGCACACAGUGGCGUGGGUGGGGGUUGGUCUGAUGCUGUUUCUUUGGAAGAGAUUCUGAGAUAAUGGCCACAAAGUCGCUUGACAGAUUUAAUCUUGUGCCAUGCUCUGAGGUAGAGGACUUUCUAGCAUGCAUGAGGCCCUGGAUUCAACCCCUAGUAUCAAAAAAAGAAAAGAAAACAAAACAAAAGGAGCUGCCAUUUUGACCUGGCUCACCACAAUUCUAGAAAACCUUCUCUAACCCUCCUCCUCUGCCGCUUACACCACUUAGACCAGCAGGAUGGCGUCCCCAGGGCAGCCUCCUGGUGUAACAUCCCAGCUGGCCUUAGCCCAGAAGCUCUGGCUCUGUGGUAGGCAUGGUGCUGCUUCCCGGGACUCAGCUCUGCUCCUAGCAGGGAGCUCAGGUCUGCAGCUGUGCAGGAGACAAGUCUGCUGUGGCUCCUGCUCGUGAUCCGAUCCCCCAUGAUCUGCAGUGGACCCCAGCAUCCCACACACUGGCCUCACAGAGCCUCACCUAUUCCAAGGUCCCACCUGUCCCUUGGAAGAGGACCUGUAACAUCUUGGAAUGUCACCCAAAACAGCAGACUUGCUAAGGCAGCUCUGUGGGGACACAAUUCUGCUGAGGGGAAUGGGAACCAAAACUGGCUUCCCUUCGGCAUGUGGCUGUGGCUUGUCCUCCUUUCCGCUCCCCUGAGAGCACCGUUUCCCUCUGCCCUACUAGGAGUCAGUCAUGUGAAGAAAGAAGUUCUAAUCUGAGAGCUGGCCACAUUCUGGGGUCCCCAGAACAAUGUUCCUCUUCCCAGGUCCACUACCAUGGCGAAUCACCUUACCCAGGAGGGCACUAUCCAACUUAACAAGUGCAGAAAUCCUGAUGAAUGGUUUUGCCUGCCAGGAAACUCCAGGAGGAAGUCAGUGUGGAUGGUUCUCAAAACCUUGGAGGGACUCCUUGAAUUUGUUACAUGUCCUGAUAAACUAUUGAAUCAGAGUCCCAGAGUAUCUUCACAGAGACAGCGGGCCAAUGACGGUAACUGUAGCUUUAUGCUGGGACUUACAUGCCGAGGCUUGAGGAUCCCUCCUGGAAACUCUCUGCCCAGAGUUUGGGCUGGGACCGCCAGGACCACACCGGAGAGGCUCUACAGGAAAACCCCAGCCGUGAGGUGGGGACUUUGCAUCCACCGAGGUCCAGAGGUCAGGGCAUUCUGUGGGCCACCUCACCUGGGGGACAAGGGGCUCAGUUUCUCAGCUUCCUUUAGAAGCCCUAAAUCCCUGCCCCUGGGACCCCGAAUCCCUGGAGUCAUGGCCCCUUCGGUCACUGCUUGAUCAGAGUGCUUUGCCCUGUGUUCAUCAGAAAGAUGUUAGGAAGGGGCUACCAUCUAGUGGGAGACCCUGGCUGUGCUGUGAACCCCCACAGGGCCUUCAGGGUUUCCAGCCCACAGUCCACAGAGAAGGGACUCUCUGUUCUAUAACCACAAGGAGCUGAAUUCGGCAACAACCCGAGAACUAGACCUCAGGGAGCCCUGAGCCCUGGUCAGCACCUUGAUCUUAGCUCCAUGGGCCCUGAGCUGAGUGCCCAGCACCUCAGGCUGGCCUUCUGACCAUGGAGAUUAAGACAAUGACCAGUGUUGUUUUGUGGUAGUUUGUUGGGGUGCAGCUGGUUUCCAUGUCCUUCACCUACUCGAUCUCUGUGUCUGUGCACCGGACACAGAUUCCAUGCCUCCAGGGUUGGGCAGGCCUGAGGUGGUCCCUGGGGAGGGAGGCAGAUGGCCACACCCUGGGCUGCUGGCCUUUGCAUGGUCACUGCAGUCUGCUAGAGAGGUUCCACCCAGAGACCUCCCGUGGCCUGCCUCCUCUGAGGACCUCAGGUCCUACAGCCCCAGCUCCCUGGCACUCAGGAAUCAUGAACCCUGGCUCUUGCUGGGCAGUAGACUGGGCCUGUUCUGCACCCUCCUAAGAGAGCAGACUGGGAGUCACACUCCAGGCUCAGCCCCUCACCACUCUGGCUCCUCCAAGGUCCCAGGUCCUCUGUCCUCUUGCACCCCUCUCUCCUGCUUCCCUCCCAGGAUGACACCCCAGCUCCUCUGCCGUAACCACACCCAGAUUUCGGGAGGAAGGUUGUCAGUGGACCAGUGGAGGCACAGAGGAUGUCGGAUGCCAAACACUAGACGUUUCCUUCCGUCCACCACGGACCCUCCACCUCCAUGCGGGCUUCUGGCUGUGCCCUCCCUGCGCUCUCUUUAAUUAGCCGGACCUUGGGGUGCUCCUGGACUGCACCCUGGGGUUCAGAGCCCCGGCCAGAGGGCUCAUUUCUCAAGGCCAGGAAAUGACAGGCUGUGGACAGGCAAUGGGGCUCGGGCCAGAGCCUGGGGACUGCACGCGGACUCUGCCCCUCAGGAGGCAGAAGCUGGGCCACAGCCCUGGGCCAGGGCCUUCCUACUGGAGCAGGCUCUCCCCAGGAACCAGGGGCCCCAGAAGCAGUAUUGCCUCUUUGUGCCCUUACAGAAACCUGGCUGAGGGGAGAGGCGCCCACCAUCAUUUAUAGAAGAGAAUUUGCUGAAGCCACAUGCAGUGUCACACACUCCGCCAGACGCUGGGACAAAGCUUGAGCGGAACACAAGGAUCAGGGUCAGGAGGCCAGUGGAAGAUGCUGGCCCUCCUCUGAGAAUUGGGGGUCACAGUGCCCUGCCUUUGGGGAGGGGAAACAAGUGGCAGCUCAGACACAGCCCUGGCCCCUACUGGAGCCCAGCUCAGAAUGAGCAACUGAGCCAAAUAGGGUGGGAGCCAUCCAAAGUGUGGGCAGUGGAUUAAGGAGAGGGGCCAAGGGGCUUCCUGGAAGAGGGCACCCACCUCUCCUGAGGGUACCUUCCUGUGGCAAGCAGGCAGGCCCCCCCAGCCUUCUCCCUAGUCUGGGGGUCCCGCGACUCAGCCGCCUGGGACACUUGUCAGUCCGGGUGGUUGAGAGGAGAUGGCCUUGGCGCCAGGCCAGGACACUUCGGGAGGUUGACAUCAGCACAGACUCACACUGCUGGCCCCUGUCGGGCAGACCCAAGAAUAGCCUUUUCACGGAGUUGAGCCAUCUACGCAGCCAGGUGGGGCUGGGGAGCUUUGGGGGCUGUGCUGUGCUGGUGCCCAGCCUUCUGUCCCCUCACCCCCUGCAGCUCCUCCUAGGAGAGAAGGGGGUCCCACCCACUCUGCACCCACCAUGAGGCUCCAGGUGACGAGGGCAAUGCCUGAGGACAGACAGUGGUAACUGGACCCUCUCAGACCCGCAGGGACCCUCCUCGCCUUCUCACUGGGCUCCCUCCACGGCCUGACUGAGCUUGCUCCACUCCCAGGUGAGACCCAGCUAGCCCCAGGAUGGGCCCACUGGCAUGGAGCAGGCGCCAGGCCAACCGUGAAGCCCAGGAUGGGGGCCGGCAGAGUGACCAGCCCCCCCGACACGCCUCCUGCCCACCUUCCCCAGCCCCGGCCCAGACCCCCUCAGGCAAAGACGGGACAGCUGGGAGAGUGGGGGUCCGUGAUGAGACACAGGGGUCACCAAAGUGCCAGCCACUCCCCCUAGGAGGCCCCUGCCCCUACCUAGCCAGCAACUACUUCCGGUGAUUUCUGGUUAAGAACUUGUGGUUCUGACUUAAGAGAUGACUCUUCCCCCCUCACCCCCGGGGCAGGUGGCUCAUUGGCACCUCCACACUGAGUACAAGACUCAGCUAGGGGCAGUGCGCCCUCAGCCCCAACUCCAGCUCCGUCUCCUCCUCAUCAGGCUUUUUAAUUAGCAUACCAGGAAAUAUGUCAGAGUUUGUAACCCUUAAAAAACAUGGUGCUGAGCAGGUGUGGUGCACAGCUGUAAUCCCACCAUCUGAUGGGCUGAGGCAGGCAGAUGAAAGCCAACCUGUGCUACAGAGUGAGAUCCUGUCUCAGAAAAAAGAGUCCCCUGUGCCCUGAUGACCAAACUGAGUGACUGGGCUCAGUGGGUACUGCAGGCUUGGCAAGGUACCUCAACUCUCUGCCAAGUGAUGCCGAUUGAAGGCUGAAGCCACUGGCCCUGAAGCUCAGAUAGUGGUGGCCCUGGAAGGGCAGAAGUUGCUGUGGAUGGUGACCACCCUCCCCACUCGGACAGCCGCUGGGAAAUGGGACCGCGGUGCCGGGGGAAGCAUCCUGCCUGUAGCAGCUCAGGUCCAGCUCGCCACCCAGGGACCCUUCAGCUUAGGGGUGGGGAGUGGCUUCCUGGGGAGGGGUCCCCUUUUCUACUAGGAGCAUCCCUGAGGCAAGAGGGCACCCUUGCAGAGCUACCUACAGCCUGUGAGCAGGAGGCCUGGCUGGCACCUGAGGGGCUGGGCCACCGCAGCGCCCUCUGACCCCAGCCUCCGGCCCAGAGCAAUGAUACCCACUCCCAUGGGGCAGUUGGAGGGUCAAGCCAGGAAGCAGGUGCAGGAUGUGUGCUCUGACUGUAGAAGAUUCACCCCAAGUCUCCAAGCCCUGCUUCCCGGAAGUGGGCAGGGUGUCGCCUGGUUGUUCUGACUUGGAGUUUCCCCUGGAGAACAGCAAGAACCCCUCCUCUGGGAGGGUGCCACGCCAGCCCUCAUCCCUCAGCCAGGUGGUAUUUGUCAGAGGGGGUGUGGCUGGGCCUCGAGGUCACAGGAAAAGAAGGUGAGCCAGGCACGGGAGCAUUCUCUCCUGCCCUUAGCUCCAUUUUGCAUCUCCUGGCAAGUGAGCCGAGGGUGUCAGGAGGGGAGCCAGCUCCAGGCAGGAGCUGCUGGGGCUCUGCCCACCAUCCCCGCAGGCCCUCACUGCAGGUGAGCGGACAGAGCUGCUCUUCCCCCUCCCCAAACCCCAGCUGUUGCCCCUCAAAAAAGACUGAGAGUCCCAGCGUCACCAAGGCAUCAGCCUCCCAGCCCUGGAGGCAUCAGGGCCAGUGGGCAACACCACUCCACCGUUCUGGUGAGGACAGAAAGCCACAGGACACCACCCCUGCCCUGAAGGGGGCCCCCACAGGGCUCCCGGGACUCAGGGCUGUUCCCUGCCCUUCUCUGUCCCCUCCCAGACGCAGGUGAAGCUCGCUCUCCAGGCUCAGCUCCCUCCUGAGCAUCUGCAAGCCCACACUGACCAUUCAGACUUCAUUGAUUGGCUGAAAGGUGAAACCUGAAAUAGCCCCCAUUGCUGGUAAACAGGAAUUUUAAUCAUUUGGGCAGCGAAUGCUAAUCUCUGGUAUCGCUGUCUCUCAGGAAGUGUGUGGGGGUGAUCCUUCCACACCGCAAGGACAGUGCCAGAAUGGCAAGCCGUGGUGGGCAGGGGGACAUGGUGUCGCCCAACCCUCUGUGCUGGCAAGCAGGAGCCUGUGGGGACUUCCUCCGGGGAGUCUGGGUCCCUUGGCCAGGGUGCCCAGGGUUUGCUCCUGGCCCUGCUACUUUCUCCCUGUGGCUCCAUGAGCAAGUUGCUUGGCCCACUGUGCCUCAGUGUCCUCAUAUGAAAAGCCACAUAACAGCCACAGGUGACCAUGCGCCUGGUCGGAGGACUCUUCCCGGAGUGCAGCGUGGGGCUGCGUCUACAGGGGGCGCCAUGCCUGAAAGUGGACAACACCCUGCACCAGAGCCUUCGAAGAGAUUCUGCUUCUCGAGGUGUUCAGUAGCAAACAGCACAGCCUUCCCUGGGCCAGCUCCACCCUGAGCACUGUCCGCUUGGAGCCUGGAGCAUCGGGUCACCUUUCCAGUCCCGCUCUGUGCUGCAUGAGUCCUCAGAGAUAGGAGGCACCUGCUGCCACGGAGCACACUCAUCCACACGUCCCGGCUGCCCACCUGCUGAAGGGGGACCCAGGCUCAGGCUCGCCUCUCCUCCCUGAGGUCUCAGCCGGCCCAGCUACAGCAGGGGAGGAGUGGCCGAGGCCGGGCAGCACAUGACCCUGGCAGCCAGCCCAGGAAAUACCUGCCGGUGCCACGUCAGCUGCAAGCUGGCCCCACUGGGGAUGCGCGGCCGGGGGACGAGCUUGCAAGUUGCCCAGCUCCGGAUUCUGGACCCUGAGGGAGUGGAGGCCACAGGCCACUCAAGGUCACCUUGAAAGCUCCUCGCAGCUCCUCUGUCGGAGCACAGACUUCCCUCAGUCCCCGUGUGAGCACAGUUGGAAGUCAGUGGUGAGUGCAGGAGUCUGUGCUUCUUGGCUGAGGGGACCGCACGGGGCCACCUCAGGAGCUCUUGGUUCUGAUGAGACCACACGUGCAGGGGCUCUGACACUGCCUGUCACCGCUGGUGCUGGGCACACAGGCACUAGGCAUAGGCGUGACCUGGUGCCACCAUGAUGAAGGACCCCAGAGUGGUACUCUUGUGUCUGCCUCUCCAGGCCCGAAGUCUGGGCUCAGGAUGCCAGCAGAGCUGGUUCCUCCCGAGGACUUCACCACACAGAUUCGGGGAGGCACCAUUUAGCCCAAGGCACUAGGAGAGAGUGUGCUGCUCUGUCACAUGAAAGUUCAUUACCACGAAACCCCAAACCAAGAUGUCUGUCACAGCUGGCCCCACGGUGUCAACCUCGGAAGCAAGCAAGAUGUCCUUCUGCAGAUGAGUGGUGCUUUCAGAGAGUGGGAUAUUAUACAGCAAUAAAAAUAAAUUAGUAUAAGUCGGAAGUGCACAUCUGUAAUCCCAGCACUCUGGAGGCUGAGGCAGAAGGGUUAUAAGUUCAAGGCCUGCCUAGACUGCAUAGCAAAAUGCUGCUUCAUAAAAACAAAAUAGGGCCGGGGAUUCAGCUUAGAGGUUCUGCUG
Long non-coding RNA from Fukomys damarensis (Damara mole-rat), 8629 nucleotides. RefSeq lists it as uncharacterized. Lineage: Eukaryota; Metazoa; Chordata; Mammalia; Rodentia; Bathyergidae. The transcript is spliced from 8 exons. The record is from RefSeq and is a predicted model, not a curated record.